This 883-nucleotide long non-coding RNA is filed under the name Homo sapiens (human). Its description in RNAcentral is "non-protein coding TEX41:118". Lineage: Eukaryota; Metazoa; Chordata; Mammalia; Primates; Hominidae. The record is from RNAcentral.
AUCUUGAAAACGGAAAAUAAAAACAGCAGACCUAUGAAGGUCGAAGGGGAAGAAAAGCUGUAUCGAUUGUUGAGAUCUGGCGACUUGUUUAAAUUUCAUCAGCCUCACUUCUAUGAACUCUCAGAGCUGAUUACCAACUCCUACCACUGUUAACCCUCAUCCAGGAACAAGCUUAUGUCUUUAACAUUCUGAGUGGGCUUCAGCAUCCUUGCAUAUGUUCAAUUCUUAAAAACCUGUUGAAAUAAAAGAUCAGGAGACAUAGGAAGGAUGCCAGAAGAGAGCGUGGCCUCACGUGUACCAGCUCUCUGCUCUCCUUUGCCUUGGGACGUUCCAUCCCUGGAAGUUUCCCUGCCCACAUCUUUGUAGAGAGUCCAUUCUCCAAGCUUCAGUGUGUCAUCUGUGAGGACCGUGACCCACCUGGUACAUCGCCUCAGGGCAUUCAUUUCAGGCUCCUUCUAAAUGGCCAAGUCUUCUGCCAGCCUAACAAGCAUAGCAAGAAGAUAUAGCCCCACAACCACUUUAUGCACAAAGUUAGAAGCAUAAAAUCUCAUGGAAGGAGACCGAUUAUCUACAGAAGAGGUUGUCUUGCCAUUUCUCUCAUGUUAGAGGUAAACCUCAGGUUCUCCUCCUGCCUUUUGCUAAGUAUAUGUCUUGAUGACAAGCCUUCUGCUGAUGAGCUGUGUUUCUGGACCGAUCAUGGUAGAAGUCAAUUAACGUGUCCCUCACUUGGGGUUUCUCAAGGCUGCACUGAUGAGGAAACUGAAACAGAAAAUCCAGAGUAAAUUCCACCAGGCCACACAGCAAGGUCUGAUAGAGCCAGGAGAGACUUUAUGAAAUCCAGACUCUCACACUAAUGCUCUAUCAGCUAGACCUCCAUGUGAGU